GACGAACGCUGGCGGCGUGCUUAACACAUGCAAGUCGAACGGAAAGGCCCUGCUUUUGUGGGGUGCUCGAGUGGCGAACGGGUGAGUAACACGUGAGUAACCUGCCCUUGACUUUGGGAUAACUUCAGGAAACUGGGGCAAUACCGGAUAGGAGCUCCUGCUGCAUGGUGGGGGUUGGAAAGUUUCGGCGGUUGGGGAUGGACUCGCGGCUUAUCAGCUUGUUGGUGGGGUAGUGGCUUACCAAGGCUUUGACGGGUAGCCGGCCUGAGAGGGUGACCGGCCACAUUGGGACUGAGAUACGGCCCAGACUCCUACGGGAGGCAGCAGUGGGGAAUAUUGCACAAUGGGCGGAAGCCUGAUGCAGCAACGCCGCGUGCGGGAUGACGGCCUUCGGGUUGUAAACCGCUUUCGCCUGUGACGAAGCGUGAGUGACGGUAAUGGGUAAAGAAGCACCGGCUAACUACGUG
This 467-nucleotide ribosomal RNA is filed under the name uncultured bacterium. Its description in RNAcentral is "partial 16S ribosomal RNA". It matches the Rfam family "Bacterial small subunit ribosomal RNA", at positions 28 to 507 of the family's 1533-position model. The record is from RNAcentral.